This is a small nuclear RNA of Aotus nancymaae (Ma's night monkey), 107 nucleotides long. The record is from Ensembl. NCBI's taxonomy places the organism in Eukaryota, Metazoa, Chordata, Mammalia, Primates, Aotidae.
GUGCUUGUUUCAGCAGCAUAUAUAACAACAUUUUAAUGAUAUAGAGAAGAUUAGCAUGACUCCUAUGCAAGGAUGACACACAAAUUCAUCAAAUAUUCUAUAUUUUU